Non-coding RNA from Sesamum indicum (sesame), 2901 nucleotides. Lineage: Eukaryota; Viridiplantae; Streptophyta; Magnoliopsida; Lamiales; Pedaliaceae. The record is from RefSeq and is a predicted model, not a curated record.
ACACACCCAGAUUUUUAAUAAUGUUUUUUUCCAAGUAGAAUAUAAACAAAAACCAACUCUCUCUCUCUCUCUCUCACACACACACACACACAAACACACACAGUGUGAAAUUAGCAAAGAAUUAAAGGUGGGUUCUGGGUUACCUUUAAUUUCCUUUAUCUCAGUUAAAGUGAAUGGAAUUCUAGUGUUUUUUUUUGGUUCCAUGGUUAAAGCAGAGGUUUUAUAGCUGAAUCCCACCUCUUUGGUUUCUUCUUCCUCCUCCCCUCUCUCUCUCUCCUCCCACCCCCAUCACAUGAAGUUUGUCUAUGGUUCCCUCGUUGAGCCUUGAUUUUUGUUCAAAAAGAAUUCCGGGCUAAGGUUGAAUUUUGGUAAUAUAUAUGAAUCAAUAAUCUCUCCCGGUUCAUCUCGCUGAUUGUAAACUUCAUAUUUGCACUUGUUUAUGGUUCGACAUAUGUUUCAAGAUUCAUUGCCCCUUCAUGACCAUGCACAGUGCUGUAAACCUUCUCACUUUACUCAGAAUCUUUGUACAUAAGUGAAGAUCUUCUUGAUAUAUGCGAGCUGCUGCUCUCUAGAGAUAUAGAGUAGCUAGCUAGCUUUUGUAUAUGGGGAUGUACAAGAAGCUGGGGAUUCAGGUUCUUUAAAGUUGGAUAUAUAUAUAUAUAUAUAGAGAUAGAUAGAUAGAUACACGGUGGAGAAAAAGAGGAGCUGUUUGUUUAAUUUGAGCCAUGAAUAAGAGUAGUAGUCAGAUGGGGUUCGUCAGCAGUACUUCUGAUCUCAUCGAUGCGAAGCUUGAGGAGCAUCAACUAUGUGGAUCCAAACAGUGCCCUAGUUGUGGACAGAAGCUCGAGGGAAAACCGGAUUGGGUAGGGCUGCCGGCGGGAGUGAAGUUCGACCCGACGGACCAGGAGCUGAUAGAACAUCUUGCAGCAAAAGUAGAAGGAAAACAAUCAAAGUCGCAUCCUUUGAUAGAUGAGUUCAUUCCUACUAUUGAAGGUGAAGAUGGGAUUUGCUACACCCAUCCUGAAAAGCUUCCAGGAGUAACAAGAGAUGGAUUGAGCAGGCACUUCUUCCACAGGCCGUCUAAAGCGUACACCACCGGUACGAGAAAGAGGAGGAAAAUCCAGACGGAAUACUGUGAUAUGCAAGGGGGUGAAACGCGGUGGCACAAGACGGGCAAAACCAGGCCUGUGAUGGUGAAUGGCAAGCACAAGGGGUGCAAGAAAAUCCUGGUGUUGUACACGAACUUUGGGAAAAAUCGAAAGCCCGAGAAAACGAAUUGGGUUAUGCACCAAUACCAUUUAGGGCAGCAUGAGGAGGAGAAAGAGGGGGAGCUUGUGGUUUCCAAGAUCUUCUACCAGACUCAGCCCAGGCAAUGCAACUGGUCUGACAAGAACAGCAUCGGUGCUAAUCCUGUAGAGGGAGCUAGCGAUCCGAAAGGCCGGAUAGAGAGUGGAAGUGGGAGCUGUUCCUCAAAAGAAAUAAUCAUCCCUCAAAGAGAUGAUCAUCAUCAUCAUCAUCAUCAAUUCUCCACUGCUGUUGCUGCCAAUGCUGUUCCUCAUAUCUCAAGUUACGGCACUACCGCUAUCGAUAGUUUCAGCUUUCUCCCAUUCGGGAAAGCCUUUGGUGAUCAGUUGCAGGGUGGGAAUAUUGGGGAGGCUUCAGUUGCAAGGGAAGCACAGCAAGGGGCAGCAGGCACGUGCGAAGUGCGUGAAAUGGGACAGCAUCACGUGAGUAACAUCCCACAGCAUCACCACCGGAUUCCGGCAGCGGCAUUCCAUAUCAGCAGACCUUCGGAAUCCAUCUCGACUGUUGUCUCUCAGCCAGUACCCCUCCAUCACACCGGCUCCAUUAAUAUUCUUGAUGAUGAUCACUCCUUCCAUGUCCCAGGAAUCUUGCUCCCGGAUGAAAAUUUUCAGACAUUACAUGAUGAAAACGAUGAUUGUGUUCUUAUUGUUUUGUUUGCAAUGAACACUAUUUAUUAUCUUCGGACAGCAGCAGCAGCAGCAGCAGCAGGAACAGCAUCAUAAAAUUGGGGGAAGGUCUGCUUCUGGAUUGGAGGAACUCAUCAUGGGCUGCACCUCAACUGCCCCCAAACAAGAAUCAUCAUCCAUUACAAACCCACAUGAAGCAGAAUGGUUGAAGUACUCCACUUUCUGGGCAGACCCUGACAACCCGGAUCAUCAUGGAUAGUUGCAAAAGUCAUAUAAAUCGAAAAUUCUUACUCAAAUCAGGUUCGACGAACCAAUUAAUUGCAGAGCAGAUAUGAUACACUUGUCAUAUAAUUAAUCAUUUUUACUGAACGGUACAUCACAUCGCACGACAAGUGAAUUGCACUUACAAUAUAAUUAACUCGUCAACUAGUUCGACCAAACCCAAUAUGAAUUAGAGUGUCCCCCACAUCCAUAUAGUAUAAAAGAAGUAGAGGACUAGCUAUAUACGAAGCAAAAGGGACAAGUUCCCCACAGACAGUCAUAAUUUCCUUCAUCAUUGCUACCUACUUGAAGCCCUCCUCCUCCGGCUUGACUUCAUUCCGAAGAAUAAGGUGACAAGGGAGCAUGCAUGCAUAUAUAUACGUAUCAUUGUUGUCCGAUUUCCAUAUCUCUUGUCCGAAUUAUUGGCUGAGGUUGAGGAUCAGGUCCAGGUCCCAUAUUGUAAGGGUUAAACCGAAGUAAGUGUUGAGCAAAACCCAUGUUGGAAAAGCAAGCAAAGAAGCGUUGAAAAGCGGAAAAGAAAGGGAAAGUAGAGAGGCAAGAAAAGGCUGCUGCCUGCUUGUGCUUGCUUAGUCUGACAAACACGAGAAGGUCGGGGGACAAACACCCACAAAGCAUAAAACCAUCCUGCAUGAAAAUCGUCACCCUUGUCAUCAUUACUAUAUCAUCUUUAUAUACACACAUACAUAUA